This 117-nucleotide ribosomal RNA is filed under the name Paramormyrops kingsleyae. The record is from RNAcentral. Lineage: Eukaryota; Metazoa; Chordata; Actinopteri; Osteoglossiformes; Mormyridae.
UCCAACUCAAACACAGUAACCACCUGCAGAUUGGGUAAUUCACCUGAAGCCAAGCAGGUGUGGUCCUGGCUAUACGUGGAUGGGAAGCCAGCUAGGAAGGCUGGGUUGCAGUUGGGA